This is a long non-coding RNA of Lolium rigidum, 2058 nucleotides long. RefSeq lists it as uncharacterized. The record is from RefSeq and is a predicted model, not a curated record. The transcript has 2 exons. NCBI's taxonomy places the organism in Eukaryota, Viridiplantae, Streptophyta, Magnoliopsida, Poales, Poaceae.
CACGCAGUCACGGGUCUCCGCCUGCGCUCCAACCGCCCUGCACAAGAAGCCACCACCAUCGCCUGAACCUAGCUCUGGACGUCCCUCUUCUACAUUGCAUCUUUUUAGUCUGCAAGUACACUCGAUUUUCAGGUUUGCUAAUUAAUACUUGGUUUUGACCAGCAAACAAUGAAUAAAUAGUUCCAAUUGGUUGAAAAUAUUAUUUAGGUUUGCUAAUUCAGUACAUGGUUUUGAUCAUUAACCUAUACGCAUGUUGGCACACAAUAUUUGUUUUAAUAGAUCGAUGGUCUGGGCAAGCAGAGAUGCUAACUCUUGGUUCUCAUGGACUCAUGGUUAUCAUCACCUCAAUUAUUGGAUCAGGUUGGGCAAACAGGACGAAGUGUCAUGUAUGCAUUUUUUAGCAUUAUGUUACUGAAAAGAUGCCAGUGAAUAAAAAUGAACGGAACUGCGAUCCAGUUUGAACUAAAGUGACAGACACUUAUUAUGGAUCGGUGGGAGUAAUAUUUAUAGGGACAUUAGGAGUCUGUAAGUUCACAUUUUCCUUCACGGAAAUUCUCUGCUUUGAGUGAUAGUCAAAUUCCCGACUUCAGAUCUUUUUACGCAUUUUGCAUCCAUCAGAUUGGAAUUGUUUUAACCUAAAGAAGAUUCCAAACGUGAUGUUCAUGUGUUUCAUCAGUAAGCACCUAGCAGAAAUAUUUGUUUUCAGAUUUGUGUCUACAUAUGAUGAAAAAAAUCAGGUUCAAUCUUACCCAUCAAUGUGUCAUUGAUAUGCAAAAAAUGUGUAGUUGGCAAUAAAAUAGCUAUUUGCAACUAACUUAUUUAGAUUUGGCAAUGAAGCUUGUCUUGAAGUAAUCAUCAAUUUCUUUGUAUAUUCGUCACUGAUUUAUGGAGAAUGGAGACAUCGGAAAUUGUUGGCUACACUUGAAUAUGUAGUUGCUUAAAGAUUUCUUAUAGCCCUUCCCAAUUUUAGUUUGUUCUCUCAUACAAGAGCAGACCUAUAGAAACUAUCAGUUUGCGCACUGUCCUCUUUCGAUGAAUAAUUGUUUGAUCUAUUUUACUAGAGUUGAACUGUAUCAAAUCUCACAAUUGUGUAGCUCCCUUUUUUUCUCCCUGCUACACAAUAAUUUUGGUUGAGGAAUGGUUACGAUUUUGUUGAUAGUGCUAGAUUUUUUUAAAAAGGUUUAGAGAUAUAGAAGAAUCAUGUACUCUUUUAUUCAUAAUUAAUUAAUAUUUCCUGAAUGCUAAUGUUCAUUUGAAUGAUCACUAUAGCAUCUAUAUUUUCCUGCCAACAAAGGAGGUAUUAUGUAUACCUGUGAGUAGCAGCCAGAAAAUACCAAUGUCAGCAAUUUGCAAGAGGUAAAGACCAUAUAAGGACGGUGCUAUGCAGCUAAAUCCUACUCCAUACUCUGCCAAGACUCAUAUCCGACCAAUCAAGAAGGUAGCAGCUUCUGGAUUCUUCAUUGCUUCAUCUAUGCUCUACCGUGUGUCCAACUUCGAUGAGGACCAUUCUGACUCUAAUAUAGUUUAGUUAUUUGCCUUCUUGAUAAACUUGCUCAUCACUGGUGUUUGAUCAAUUAACCAGUUUUAUCUUUGGUGUAUAUGUAUGUGAGAGCUGUUAAAGUCACAUUUGUGCAGUGUAUACAAGUUCAGACGUGGCUCUCUUAUUUUUUUUUUUAACUUCUGUAACGAUGGCACCAACGUGGAGGAUGAGUGGGCCGACAAAGUGAAGGAAAACGGUCGUCGGUGUUUACUGUCAGGAGUGCCCCAUUUACUACGAGAUGCUCAAGACUCAAGAGUGGCCUCACCGCGUUGCCAAGGUGAUACUACAUAGUUACGUUUUUUUUUUCUUUGCAUUGUCGCUGAAGUAGUGAAAUUUAUGAUAACACCGCUGAUGACUGCUUGAUGAUGCUAAAACAAUUUGGUCUAUUCUGGUUUGAUGCUUUCAAGGAAAAUGGAAACUCCUGUUGUUUCAGUUCAUAUGGUGCAAAUUAAAAUGAUUUGCACAGACUGUGUGUAUUUAUUUUUCUCUCAUGAUACAAAAUACAAGAUUAAGGUGAA